RNAcentral lists this ribosomal RNA (482 nucleotides) under uncultured bacterium. RNAcentral's name for it is "partial 16S ribosomal RNA". It matches the Rfam family "Bacterial small subunit ribosomal RNA", at positions 30 to 507 of the family's 1533-position model. The record is from RNAcentral.
AUUGAACGCUGGCGGCAUGCCUUACACAUGCAAGUCGAACGGUAACGGGCCUUCGGGUGCCGACGAGUGGCGAACGGGUGAGUAAUACAUCGGAACGUGCACGCUCGUGGGGGAUAACGAGGCGAAAGCUUUGCUAAUACCGCAUACGAUCUACGGAUGAAAGCCGGGGACCGCAAGGCCUUGCGCGGACGGAGCGGCCGCUGGCAGAUUAGGUAGUUGGUGGGAUAAAAGCUUACCAAGCCGACGAUCUGUAGCUGGUCUGAGAGGAUGAUCAGCCACACUGGGACUGAGACACGGCCCAGACUCCUACGGGAGGCAGCAGUGGGGAAUUUUGGACAAUGGGCGCAAGCCUGAUCCAGCCAUGCCGCGUGCAGGAUGAAGGCCUUCGGGUUGUAAACUUCUGUUGUACGGAACGAAAAGCCUUCUUUUAAUACAGGAGGGUCAUGACGGUACCGUAAGAAUAAGCACCGGCUAACUACGUG